Molecule: unclassified non-coding RNA, 314 nt
Filed under: plant metagenome
Description: partial contains 5.8S ribosomal RNA, internal transcribed spacer 2, and large subunit ribosomal RNA
Rfam family: 5.8S ribosomal RNA (bases 1-105)
Source: RNAcentral
GAAAUGCGAUAAUUAAUGUGAAUUGCAGAAUUCAGUGAAUCAUCGAGUCUUUGAACGCACAUUGCGCCCCCUGGUAUUCCGGGGGGCAUGCCUGUCCGAGCGUCAUUGCUGCCCUCAAGCACGGCUUGUGUGUUGGGCUUCCGUCCCUGGCAACGGGGACGGGCCCAAAAGGCAGUGGCGGCACCAUGUCUUGUCCUCGAGCGUAUGGGGCUUUGUCACCCGCUCCCGUAGGUCCAGCUGGCAGCUAGCCUCGCAACCAAUCUUUUUAACCAGGUUGACCUCGGAUCAGGUAGGGAUACCCGCUGAACUUAAGC